CGGCGAGCGAACCGGAAAGAGCCCAGCUUGAAAAUCGAGGUGCCUCGCACCCCGAGUUGUAGUCUGGAGAAGGUCCCUCUGCGACGCGCCGGACCCAAGUUCCCUGGAAAGGGACGUCAUCGAGGGUGACAACCCCGUCCGCGCCCGGAAGGCGUCGCUCCACGAGGACCUGUCUGCGAGUCGGGCUGUUUGGGAAUGCAGCCCUAAUCCGGUGGUAAAUUCCAUCGAAGGCUAAAUAUGGGCAAGAGACCGAUAGCGAACAAGUACCGCGAGGGAAAGAUGAAAAGGACUUUGAAAGUAUUGUAAGGGCCGUCGCGCCGGGACAAGAGCGGGGAUUCGCUUCCCGCCUAUGCCGGUGCGGUGGCCGAGGAACGAAGCGCGCGCCGUGUGGCGUGGGCCCUCUCGGGGGCCCAACUGCGCGCUCGGGACGCUGGCGCAUUGAGCUCUUCAUCCGACCCGUCUUGAAACACGGACCAAGGAGUCUAACAUGUAUGCGAGCCGGUGGGCGGCAAACCCAUGGAGGCGCAAGUAAACUGACAGGUGGGACCCCGACCGCGAGGGAGGGAGCACCAUCGACCGACCGUGAUCUUCUGUGAAAGGUUUGAGUGGGAGCAUACCUGUUGGGACCCGAAAGAUGGUGAACUAUGCCUGAGCAGGGCGAAGCCAGAGGAAACUCUGGUGGAGGCUCGUAGCGAUACUGACGUGCAAAUCGUUCGUCAGACUUGGGUAUAGGGGCGAAAGACUAAUCGAACCAUCUAGUAGCUGGUUCCCUCCGAAGUUUCCCUCAGGAUAGCUGGAGCUCGUGGACAAGUUUUAUCAGGUAAAGCGAAUGAUUAGAGGCAUCGGGGGUGUAACACCCUCGACCUAUUCUCAAACUUUAAAUAGGUAAGCCGCCGGGGUUGCUUGGUUGAACCCCUGCACAGAAUGAGAGCUCCAAGUGGGCCAUUUUG
RNAcentral lists this ribosomal RNA (950 nucleotides) under Hildebrandtiella guyanensis. RNAcentral's name for it is "eukaryotic LSU rRNA". It matches the Rfam family "Eukaryotic large subunit ribosomal RNA", at positions 87 to 1138 of the family's 3401-position model. The record is from RNAcentral. Lineage: Eukaryota; Viridiplantae; Streptophyta; Bryopsida; Hypnales; Pterobryaceae.